AUUUCCCCAAUGGGUUCUCCGGAUUUCUGGAGACUUGUAGGGGUUGUGGGUUUUUCGAUGUGUCGUCUCCGGACGGGCGGUGCAGGGUAGUCGAGUUGGACUUGGUGGAAUUCGGUUUAUUCGAAUCCGUCGAGUCUGGCUGGCACGAUCGUGUGCGGCUGUGUGCUGGACGGUGUAGGGUAGGCUGCUUGGACAUGGUCGGUUCGAGGAUCGAUUCGAGGGCCGGCCUGUCGAUGAUGUGUGAUGUAUGCGGUCUAGGGUAGGCUGGUUUGUCUUGGUCCAAUUUGAUGUCGGCUCCCGUGCAGACCAGAGUGAGGGCGGUCCAGGGUAGGUCCAGGGUAGGCAGCUUAGAUUUGAUCGAUCUGGAGGUCGAUUCUCCGGCUGGCGGAUCUGACACUGUCGAAACGAGAUGCGAGCGGUGUAGGGUAGGCCAGUUUUGUCGUCGCCAGGUUGCGAUUCGGACGAGAUAUGUGGUCUAGGGUAGGGUCUAGGGUAAGUAGAGUUCGAGUUUCGUCGCCAACAGUUUGCUGUAUGUGUAGGGUAGGUGCAGGGUAAGCAAAUCUCUCUCUGGCCAGACGGUUUUGCGGUCUGGUGGUUGUGAGUCGAUUUUUUUGUUUU
This 618-nucleotide unclassified non-coding RNA is filed under the name Fusarium oxysporum. RNAcentral's name for it is "partial miscellaneous RNA". The record is from RNAcentral. Lineage: Eukaryota; Fungi; Ascomycota; Sordariomycetes; Hypocreales; Nectriaceae.